This 253-nucleotide ribosomal RNA is filed under the name uncultured bacterium. RNAcentral's name for it is "partial 16S ribosomal RNA". It matches the Rfam family "Bacterial small subunit ribosomal RNA", at positions 524 to 776 of the family's 1533-position model. The record is from RNAcentral.
UACGUAGGGGGCUAGCGUUGUCCGGAAUCAUUGGGCGUAAAGAGCGUGUAGGCGGCCCGGUAAGUCCGCUGUAAAAGUCAAAGGCUCAACCUUUGAAUGUCAGUGGAUACUGCCGGGCUAGAGUCCGGAAGAGGCGAGUGGAACUCCUGGUGUAGCGGUGGAAUGCGCAGGUAUCAGGAAGAACACCAACGGCGAAGGCAGCUCGCUGGGACGGUACUGACGCUGAGACGCGAAAGCGUGGGGAGCGAACAGG